Molecule: long non-coding RNA, 785 nt
Organism: Marmota monax (woodchuck)
Lineage: Eukaryota; Metazoa; Chordata; Mammalia; Rodentia; Sciuridae
Exons: 2
Source: RefSeq, a predicted model, not a curated record
GCCUGGCAGUGGUCUGGGCAUUCUAGAAGUAGAGAAGCUAACUUUACUGAAGACCUGAGGUCUAUUUAGGAAUAGAGUCAUCUCACUGGCCCUGGGUCCACACUGUCUUUUCUCUCUCUCCCUCCUCUCUUCCUGGAAUAGCUAACAAAUCCCUCCCUCUGUCCUCAUGCAUAUGCUAUUUUUCUCAAGGUGUGACUAUUUGUCAGUCACCAACAUGUAAAAUAAAUUGCACAGUCAAUGAAAGAGGGAAAAAGGGAAAUCAACAUACAGAGAACACAUGGAUACCUCAAAAGCAAGUGGGGGAACAGCUAUUUGACCUCCUGUUAUGGAAAUUGAACUAUUUGACCUCCAGUUAUGGAAUGAGGAUUCCUCCAGCAAGGAAUCAACCACAAAUCUAUCUGCACAGCUGAGCUGCCGGCAUUUCAUGGUUAAGAACAGGGAACUGAGGAGACUUACCAGAUGAAUGGAAUUUCACUUGUGAGACCAGUGCACAACCAAACUCAGAGCAUCAACUGCUACAAAACCUAUCUGAGAGUUUCACAGACAUUAUAGGCCACUUAACAUUCAGCACCUUCAGACUUACUUGUGUUCCUGUGACUUUGAUCCCCAGGGAGAGAAGCAUCCAUAGUCCAGGCUGGAAUGUGUUGGUUGGGAUGUACAGUAGGUACCAUCGUGCUCUCAUUAUAAAUUGUAUUUAUCAGAAUAACAUCAGGCACUUGAACUUCACCAUCAGUAACCAUAGGUUCACUUCCAUUUGAUUUAACAUAGGUCUUUUUUAAUGUUCC